CCUACGGGGCGCAGCAGUGGGGAAUAUUGCACAAUGGGGGAAACCCUGAUGCAGCGACGCCGCGUGAGUGAAGAAGUAUUUCGGUAUGUAAAGCUCUGUCAGCAGGGAAGAAAAUGACGGUACCUGACCAAGAAGCCCCGGCUAACUACGUGCCAGCAGCCGCGGUAAUACGUAGGGGGCAAGCGUUAUCCGGAUUUACUGGGUGUAAAGGGAGCGUAGACGGCAGGGCAAGUCUGGAGUGAAAGGCGGGGGCUCAACCCCCGGACUGCUCUGGAAACUGCCAGGCUGGAGUGCAGGAGAGGUAA
RNAcentral lists this ribosomal RNA (305 nucleotides) under uncultured bacterium. Its description in RNAcentral is "bacterial SSU rRNA". It matches the Rfam family "Bacterial small subunit ribosomal RNA", at positions 338 to 660 of the family's 1533-position model. The record is from RNAcentral.